Oncorhynchus mykiss (rainbow trout) is the source of this 2809-nucleotide non-coding RNA. NCBI's taxonomy places the organism in Eukaryota, Metazoa, Chordata, Actinopteri, Salmoniformes, Salmonidae. The record is from RefSeq and is a predicted model, not a curated record.
CGAAACUGUUCCGCCUGGUGCAGACACAAAAACAGAAAACUACCCACAAAACAAAGGUGGGAAAGGCUACCUAAGUAUGGUUCGCAAUCAGAGACAACGAUAGACAGCUGCCUCUGAUUGAGAUCCACACCAGGCCAAACACACAGAAAUAGAAAACAUAGAACACAAAACAAAGAAUGCCCACCCCAAUUGAAUGUCUUUGAUAAUUCAAUGUUUUACACCCAACUUCUAUGUUUUUUAAUUUCAGGAGGUGGUUAAGCCUGCACUGAAGCACUUACAGGAGAAGCUGAAUGUCUUCAAUGACGUUAAACUGACCUGUUUAACGUCAUUGACCUGUUUAACGUCAUGUGAUCGCAGCCACAUUUCCACCCUGUGGAAUUAUGGAUGAUAGACUGGUGACUGAUGUUACUAUCAGAUACAUUAUUGUUUGCUAUCUCCAGAGCCAGGCUCAGCACACAGAGAGGCAAUCAAGGAGGAGUUUGAGAAGCUUCCUUUGUACCUACAAGAGGAAGAGGAGGUCAGGAUAGUUGCAUUAAGGGAGGAAGAGAAGCAGAAGAGUCAGAAGAUUGAGGAGAUGAGCAGAGAGAUAUCAUCACUGUCAGACACAAUCAGAACCAUAGAAGAGGAGCUGGGGCCUAAAACCAUAACAUUCCUACAGCACUACAGUGCCACUUGGAAAGAACCCAGUGCACAUUGCCAGACCGUGAGAGGGUUUCAGGAGGACUGAUUGAUGUGGCAAAGCACAUGGGUAACCUGCAGUAUAGAGUCUGGGAGAAGAUGCAGGCAAGAAUUCAAUACAGUGAGUAUUAGAUACAAUUGAGAUAAAACGUUAACGCCACUAAAAUGUUCCAACACAGAAAACAAGAAAUACACUUAGUGAAUAAAAUGUAUGAUGAAUAAUGAGAUUAUGUCCAUACCUAAAUUUGAUUUAAUUAUGGUAUGUUUGUGUUGUCUCUGUUCAGUUCCAGUGACUCUAGACCCCAACACUGCAAACUCAUAUCUAAUCUUGUCUGAUAAUAUACUGAAACUUCCAGACAACCCAGAGAUAUUUGAUGACUAUAAAAUGGUCCUGGCCUAUGAGGGCUUUAACUCAGGAAUACACGAUGAGGUUGGGCACAAUACAGGACAUUUCGUUGGUGUGAUCACAGAGUCUUGCCGGAGGAAGGGAGACUUCAGCAUGUGUAGAGGAUCCUGGGGUGCGUGGUUUUGAAAGGAUAGGUAUUUAACAUAUGUUCUAAUGGUGCCACGUGUUCACAGACUUGAUCGCCUAACCCGUGAGACAGAAACCCAAGAUGGCCAGAGUGCAGCUGGACUGGUACAGAGGAAAGCUGUCAUUCUCUGACCCAGAUAAUAACACACAAAUACACACAUUCACACACACUUUCAUUGAGAGAGUCUUUCCAUACAUCAGGAACCACUUUAUUCUCCAUCCUCUGAAGGUGUUACCUGUGAAGGUCUCUGUUACAGUGGAUACUGCCUCUGUCUGAAUCAGGGAUUAGCAUGUUGAAUGAGUCAGUAACACUUACUGAGGCCCUUCACCUGCUGUAACACUCUCAUCAGUCAAACAAUGAUAACUCAUCUUGUCAACAAACAGCAGACUAACACCUUCAGACUAUUUAGUGAAAAAGGUCACCUAUAAAAUAAUCAUUCACAGGAAGUUGUGGGUGUUAAUUUUUUUUUUUUAAGUGUAUUUGCCAUUGUGAACAUAGGUAACUUGCUGAUAAAAAGUUCUAUAUUGUUUAAAAAGUCUGAGUUGGGAUAGGCUACACAGAUGCCACAUUGUUUCCAAACCAUACAGUUCAAACCAUCCAAUGAUACUUAUCAUGUGUCUUAAUUAAGACUUCAAUUCAAUUCAUGAAGUUAAAAAGACUCCGCUAUCCUUGUCAAGACUGCUCCUCAGCCCUCCUAACACAGAGGAAAGUGGUAGUUGAGCUUGCUUUACACUAGAUGGGGUGAGUGUAUUAAAGUGUAUCAAACAGACACUAGAGGGCAUCGUAGCCUUUCCAUGAGGACAAAGAAACACUGAAUCAGCUGUAUAAAAAAUGAUUAAAUCAUAUGCUGGAGGCUUUGUCCUGUCCUGAAAAGCUAACAAGAGCUGCUAGUAGGCUAAAGGGUCUGGGUUGAAUAACCCUUCGAUUUUGUCAAUCUAGGAUACAUUGCCAUUGGAUUAAAGAAUAUAUGCAGAUUGUUCAAAUAAAUGACUGACUUAAUUAUUUUCCCCAAUAAACUGAGUUCAAAUGGACUUGAUCUUAACCAUGCCUAAACAUGUCAAUAUAAACACUUUGUGCUAAAAUAAGACAAGCCAGAUUCAUGUCUUUCCUAGCAUGCAUGUAGACGCUUAACAGUUUGAUAAGGAAUAGUGGGUGUAUGCUUUGAUGCCGGAUUCCCCUCCUGUCAUUGGUUUGAGACCAAAGCAGCCAAUGAGACUGUUCAGUUAGAUUUCCUCAUGCAGAUACCAACCGCUGCAGUGGAGAGUAACUAAAGGCUUCUAAAUAAUACAGUAGUGUGUGAUGAUGGCAUAUAGGAAGAUUCCUACUACAUCAAGGAAAUCUCAUUCUUAUUCUCCCUCUCUUUCUGCCCCCCAAACACACACACACACACUAGUUGCGACCCGUCAUUCAGGGCAGGUGAGAGCCCCAUCAGUUUUGAGCUCCACCUGUUUUGAGCUCCACCUGUUUUGAGCCCCACAUUUUUAGCAAAAACAAUUACAAAUUGAACAGUCUCAUUGGCUGCUUUGGUCCCAAAUCAAUGAGAGGGCUUGCCUGUUUUGCAUGUUCUUUUGGCAUUAAUACAUGUCACAUAUCAGUUU